UGUGGGGACCGAUAUUUUGAAAAAGAUUUAAAAUAUCCCCUUGAAGAUCAAAUUUGAAUUCUUUUAAAAGGUGAUUUCAUUUUAACCAAGAAAUUCAAGAGUAAUUGGAGAUUGCUACUUGUUGUGUUAUAAAUUGUAUUUUGAAUCAAAUGGCUUGUGACAAUAUUUGCAUGAAUGGUUGAAUUGGUAUUUGUGUUGAAAUAUAUGAACUAUGUAUUUAGCCUUAAGAGGCUGGAUUGUGAAAUAAUUGCCAUGUCAUGCUAUUGCAAAUUUUAUUGUAUGGUGGGUUUAGCUUGCUGCAAUGGGUGGAUUCUAUGGACCAACCUAUUAGAGGGGCACGAAAUUUGGUUAUAUAUGUACCUCAGUCGGAGAGUCGCGUAGGGUAUCUCCUGAGGUAUGGUUAGAGUUCACGUCACGUCGAACCACCUUGUGAUGAUGAACUCCACUAACACCAAGGAAUGGCUGUGUUUUCAAAAUAAAAAUAUGAUUUAUGCGUACAUUACUUUUUAACAGCCUUGGCGGAUUCGGCUGGGAUAGCCCCAGGCCAAGGUAUCCCUGACAACCGAGUAUGAGAAUGAUUUUGGCACAAGCCAAGUUUUUAAGAAAGUCAUAAGCCAUGUUGUUUAUUUUUGAUAAAAAUGUAAUGGUUUUAUAUGAGUUGAA
Molecule: long non-coding RNA, 663 nt
Filed under: Theobroma cacao (cacao)
Lineage: Eukaryota; Viridiplantae; Streptophyta; Magnoliopsida; Malvales; Malvaceae
Description: long non-coding RNA (TCAC_LNC001815)
Source: RNAcentral